GGGCGUAUAGCUCAGCGGGAGAGCACUACGUUGACAUCGUAGGGGUCACAAGUUCGAUCCUUGUUACGCCCACCA
RNAcentral lists this transfer RNA (75 nucleotides) under Gillisella vitis. RNAcentral describes it as "Agrobacterium vitis tRNA-Val". It matches the Rfam family "tRNA". From Rfam's summary of the family: Transfer RNA (tRNA) molecules are approximately 80 nucleotides in length. Their secondary structure includes four short double-helical elements and three loops (D, anti-codon, and T loops). The record is from RNAcentral. RNAcentral also lists the same sequence under 30 other names. Lineage: Bacteria; Pseudomonadati; Pseudomonadota; Alphaproteobacteria; Hyphomicrobiales; Rhizobiaceae.